GCCGAGGUAGCUCAGCCUGGUAGAGCACUGCACUGAAAAUGCAGGUGUCGGCAGUUCGAGUCUGCCCCUCGGCACCA
RNAcentral lists this transfer RNA (77 nucleotides) under Chloroflexota bacterium. RNAcentral's name for it is "Chloroflexi bacterium (marine sediment metagenome) tRNA-Phe". It matches the Rfam family "tRNA". From Rfam's summary of the family: Transfer RNA (tRNA) molecules are approximately 80 nucleotides in length. Their secondary structure includes four short double-helical elements and three loops (D, anti-codon, and T loops). The record is from RNAcentral. Lineage: Bacteria; Bacillati; Chloroflexota. RNAcentral also lists the same sequence under 1 other name.